CCUACGGGGAGCAGCAGUGGGGAAUAUUGGACAAUGGGCGAAAGCCUGAUCCAGCCAUGCCGCGUGUGUGAAGAAGGCCUUCGGGUUGUAAAGCACUUUCAGUGGGGAAGAAAGCCUUGGGGCUAAUACCCUCGAGGAAGGACAUCACCCACAGAAGAAGCACCGGCUAACUCCGUGCCAGCAGCCGCGGUAAUACGGAGGGUGCGAGCGUUAAUCGGAAUUACUGGGCGUAAAGCGCGCGUAGGCGGUCUGAUAAGCCGGUUGUGAAAGCCCCGGGCUCAACCUGGGAACGGCAUCCGGAACUGUCAGGCUAGAGUGCAGGAGAGGAAGGUAGAAUUCCCGGUGUAGCGGUGAAAUGCGUAGAGAUCGGGAGGAAUACCAGUGGCGAAGGCGGCCUUCUGGACUGACACUGACGCUGAGGUGCGAAAGCGUGGGUAGCAAACAGGAUUAGAUACCCGAUAGUC
RNAcentral lists this ribosomal RNA (464 nucleotides) under Vreelandella stevensii. RNAcentral's name for it is "partial 16S ribosomal RNA". It matches the Rfam family "Bacterial small subunit ribosomal RNA", at positions 338 to 795 of the family's 1533-position model. Lineage: Bacteria; Pseudomonadati; Pseudomonadota; Gammaproteobacteria; Oceanospirillales; Halomonadaceae. The record is from RNAcentral.